AUUGAACGCUGGCGGCAGGCUUAACACAUGCAAGUCGAGCGGUAGCACAGGGGAGCUUGCUCCCUGGGUGACGAGCGGCGGACGGGUGAGUAAUGUCUGGGAAACUGCCUGAUGGAGGGGGAUAACUACUGGAAACGGUAGCUAAUACCGCAUAACGUCGCAAGACCAAAGAGGGGGACCUUCGGGCCUCUUGCCAUCAGAUGUGCCCAGAUGGGAUUAGCUAGUAGGUGGGGUAAUGGCUCACCUAAGCGACGAUCCCUAGCUGGUCUGAGAGGAUGACCAGCCACACUGGAACUGAGACACGGUCCAGACUCCUACGGGAGGCAGCAGUGGGGAAUAUUGCACAAUGGGCGCAAGCCUGAUGCAGCCAUGCCGCGUGUGUGAAGAAGGCCUUCGGGUUGUAAAGCACUUUCAGCGAGGAGGAAGGUGGUGAGCUUAAUACGUUCAUCAAUUGACGUUACUCGCAGAAGAAGCACCGGCUAACUCCGUG
This 490-nucleotide ribosomal RNA is filed under the name uncultured bacterium. Its description in RNAcentral is "partial 16S ribosomal RNA". It matches the Rfam family "Bacterial small subunit ribosomal RNA", at positions 30 to 507 of the family's 1533-position model. The record is from RNAcentral.